RNAcentral lists this ribosomal RNA (253 nucleotides) under uncultured bacterium. RNAcentral describes it as "partial 16S ribosomal RNA". It matches the Rfam family "Bacterial small subunit ribosomal RNA", at positions 524 to 776 of the family's 1533-position model. The record is from RNAcentral.
UACGUAGGGUGCAAGCGUUGUCCGGAAUUAUUGGGCGUAAAGAGCUCGUAGGCGGUUUGUCGCGUCUGCUGUGAAAACUCGGGGCUUAACUCCGGGCCUGCAGUGGGUACGGGCAGACUAGAGUGCGGUAGGGGAGACUGGAAUUCCUGGUGUAGCGGUGAAAUGCGCAGAUAUCAGGAGGAACACCGGUGGCGAAGGCGGCUGCCUGGCCUAGGACUGACGCUGAGACGCGAAAGCGUGGGGAGCGAACGGG